GACGAACGCUGGCGGCGUGCUUAACACAUGCAAGUCGAACGGAAAGGCCAGUGCUUGCCCUGGUGCUCGAGUGGCGAACGGGUGAGUAACACGUGGGUGAUCUGCCUUGCACUCUGGGAUAAGCUUGGGAAACUGGGUCUAAUACCGGAUAGGAACCGUCUUUAGUGUGGUGGUUGGAAAGUUUUUUCGGUGCAAGAUGAGCUCGCGGCCUAUCAGCUUGUUGGUGGGGUAAUGGCCUACCAAGGCGUCGACGGGUAGCCGGCCUGAGAGGGUGUACGGCCAAAUUGGGGCUGAGAUACGGCCCAGACUCCUACGGGAGGCAGCAGUGGGGAAUAUUGCACAAUGGGCGGAAGCCUGAUGCAGCGACGCCGCGUGGGGGAUGACGGCCUUCGGGUUGGAAACUCCUUUCGACAGGGACGAAGCGUUAUGUGACGGUACCUGUAGAAGAAGCACCGGCUAACUACGUG
This 467-nucleotide ribosomal RNA is filed under the name uncultured bacterium. RNAcentral describes it as "partial 16S ribosomal RNA". It matches the Rfam family "Bacterial small subunit ribosomal RNA", at positions 28 to 507 of the family's 1533-position model. The record is from RNAcentral.